Molecule: ribosomal RNA, 638 nt
Filed under: Bjerkandera adusta
Lineage: Eukaryota; Fungi; Basidiomycota; Agaricomycetes; Polyporales; Phanerochaetaceae
Description: eukaryotic LSU rRNA
Rfam family: 5.8S ribosomal RNA (bases 250-403)
Source: RNAcentral
GAGGAAGUAAAAGUCGUAACAAGGUUUCCGUAGGUGAACCUGCGGAAGGAUCAUUAUCGAGUUUUGAACGGGUUGUCUGCUGGCUCGCAAGGGCAUGUGCACGCCUGUCUCAUCCACUCUCAACUUCUGUGCACUUUUCAUAGGCCGGCUUGUGGGUGCGUUCGCGCACUUGUAGGUGUCGGGCUUAUGCUUUACUACAAACGAUUCAGUUUUAGAAUGUCAUACUUUGCUAUAACGCAAUUUAUAUACAACUUUCAGCAACGGAUCUCUUGGCUCUCGCAUCGAUGAAGAACGCAGCGAAAUGCGAUAAGUAAUGUGAAUUGCAGAAUUCAGUGAAUCAUCGAAUCUUUGAACGCACCUUGCGCUCCUUGGUAUUCCGAGGAGCAUGCCUGUUUGAGUCUCAUGGAAUUCUCAACCUUCAGCUUUAUUGAUGAAGGCUUGGACUUGGAGGUCGUGCCGGCUCUCGUAGUCGGCUCCUCUGAAAUGCAUUAGUGCGAACGUUACCAGCCGCUUCAGCGUGAUAAUUAUCUGCGUUGCUGCGGAGGGUAUUCUAGUGUUCACGCUUCUAACCGUCUUCGGACAAAUUUCUGAACUCUGAGCUCAAAUCAGGUAGGACUACCCGCUGAACUUAAGCAUAU